Molecule: long non-coding RNA, 2818 nt
Organism: Symphalangus syndactylus (siamang)
Lineage: Eukaryota; Metazoa; Chordata; Mammalia; Primates; Hylobatidae
Source: RefSeq, a predicted model, not a curated record
UCAGAGACAAGAAGUAGCAAAACUGUGACUAGAAAUCAGGCAGCUUUGGUUCCUGGCCUUCAAGCCAGGGAGAAUAUUGCUUUCUCACUUUCCCCCCCACCUCCUGCCUACCUCUCCAGAUGACAGUGUCCACGUUGUGCCUACUGAAGCCCCAGGAAGAGUCACAAAGCAGACAGCUCUGCAAGGGCCUGCCCUCCGUGGACUCAGGGAAGAACACUGUGUACUCUUCCCCUCUCCAUCUCAGCAAUGCAUCAACCCCAGACUUGGAAAAAUCAAUGUUGGCGAGGACAGGAGAAAGAUAUGCUCAGAUACAUUUGUCAUUUGAGGUGCCUUCAGACAUACUCACCCAGCAGCAGCCCUUCAGCCUCUGUUCCCCAUCAGAGCCACGUACUCAAACCAGAGCAACUGCUAUGAGCAGGGCUGAAUGUGGACAUUGGAAUGGUAGAAUGCCAGGGUCAGAGGGAUCUUAGAGGAUCCAUCCAACUCUCCACUGCACAGUUGAGGAGUCUGAGGCCAGGAGCCAUUUAUUGAGCACCUACUAGUUGGCUUUACGUACUCAUUGAGAAUACCAAGAAGAAUAAGCUCAUUUCUUAUGCUGAAGAGGAGACAGACAUGCAAAUCAAGAAAUGGACACAUUACAAAAUGACCCAGGAGACACUGAGGGCCUCUGCUCCAUCCCUUGCCAAUUCUGAGAACAGUGCAGCCACAAGGAGGAUUGUUCUGAGGCUUCCCACAGGGCACAAAACCCCCAAGCACUGUCCUCUGGCCACCUACAGCCUCUCUGACUCUGCAUUGCCUCUGGCCCUGCACUGCCUGCUUGAGCAAAGCAAUCUUUGAAAACCAUUUCCAGCCUGGCUAAUGAUGCAGUGCUUUGAAAAGUGCCACCAGGAUGAAAAACAGCUCACAAAAGGGGACUCCUCGUUAUUUUACCAGCACAGCCGGCAAGAAGCUCCUGCCAAGCAAGAUCAAACUUCUCAGGAAUGUUUUGAAAAGCUGGUGGAAACAAGGGCCUCUGUCACACUUCUGUCACAUCUCACCCCAGCAUGUGGGGAAAGCGCUCUUGGAACGGAUGUUAGUCUGUCUCAGAAACACAAAAAAUUGAUGUCUCCAGCAGCAUUGCCAUUUCCACUGCAGACUUAAAGCUACAUCUUUCUGGAUUCUAAUGCAGAAAGGGAACAGUUAGAGAAACCAUCCAGGCUUUUUCUAAAAUGAGAGCAGGUUAAAGAUGCAGUUUAAAAAGGCGCCUCUCAAGGCUUCCCUCCUGACCUUCCAUACCAAAAGCCUGAGCUUAAUUACCUACAUAAUUUUCCUGGCUCUGUGCUGUGGUGCAGGGACCCUCUCUGUUCACCGGAAGCUGAGCCAUCUGUCAGACACCUCUCUCUGGACUCCCCAGGGUCCCCUCUCACCUACACAUCUCGAUUAGCAGAUGACAGUUCUGCUAUAAUGUUUAUUUUACCUCUAACAGAUUUUCAGCUAAGUAGGUGAAGGGGUGGAGGUUCCCUGCCCAGAGCCAGUUCUGGGCUUCCUUUGGCUCCUCCUUCCAGUCUGCUAGGAAAAGGAACGUGGAGGCCUUUAGGAGAGAGGAGAGAUCACAUUUUCUUUGCCACUGAGUAGUGAAGGUCAGGCCCUCCUUGCCAGCCACAAAGCAGAGAAUUGUUUGUUUAUUUCUCCGAGUAGCACUGUUCUCUCUGUGAGCAGCAGACAAAACCAGAAAAGGGAAUUCAUUCUGUGGAGCAGACCAAAGGCAGGGGAAAACUUGUACUUUGGAAAGAAAAAAACAAAUUCAGUGAAGUGAUCAUCUUAAAUCUUCUAGUUAUUCUUCCUCUCCACCACCUUUCACCCCCAAUCUGAGUUUUCCUGGGAUUUAGGUAAGAUCCCACGAGAAAAAUGAGAUAUGGCAGAUAGAGUUGAGAGCAGCAAUAGGAACUUGGGGUGGAAAGGUGCGCAUUCAUCUACAGAUCACUCAGCCAAAUAAGCCACUUAGAGAGUCCAUGCCCACAUUAAUUCCUUUGAUGACUCAGUGACAAGCAGAAUGCAAUUGCAAUACAGUAAGGCCAGAAACCUGGAAGAAGCAUCCUCUACUCCUCCCUCUCUCUUAUCCUCCACAUCUAAGCCAUGAUCAAUCUUACAGAGUCUGACUCCUAAAUAUCUGUCAAACUCACCCUCUUCUCUCCAUUUUCAUGUCUACUGCUGUAAUUCAGCACUAUCAUUUCCUGCCCAAAUGAUUGACACAGCUUUAUAAUUAGGCUAUUUGCCCCUUCCAAUCUAAUCCCCACAUAGCACCCAGAGAAACCUUUCAUAGGUGCAAGUCUUAUGCUAUUUUCUGGAUAAAACCCUUCAAGAUCUUAUUUCCUCCUCUCUUCUCCAGGCCCUAGUUUUAUUCUGAAAGCCCAAAGUCCUGCAUAAUUUGGUCCCUGCUUAUUUCUUCAGCCUUAACCUUACAGCUUCCUGCUUCAAACAGUAGGCUCUAGCAAACUAAGCUUUUCUUUUGCAAAAUAGACCAAAUGCACUUUCACUUUUGUGCCAUCAUGCGUGCUGUUUUCUCUGCUUGGAACAAUCUUUUUGAUACUCCCAGCCUCCCUUAAUUAGCUAUUUCCUACCGAACUUUAGGUCUCAACUAAAAUGUCACCUCCUCUAGAAAGACUUUACUAGCCCUCAAGGCAGUUGAGCUAGAAGUUUCCUCUGUGCUCCCAUAGCAACUUAUGGAUUCACAUUGCCCAUUUGUAAGAGCCAAGAGAGCAAGAGCCACAGCUAUGAGGGCCGCCUUUGUAUUCCUGGCCCUGGAGAAGAAAACAAAAUAGGCUCAAUAAAAAAUUUU